AACAGGGAUGCCGUCCGCGGGGCGGCGGGCGACACUCCGGCGUGGAGCUGAGGGCGAACGCGGCCGGUUUCUCAAUAUGCAGUCUGCACUGGUUUAAUAUGUGACAAGGAGACAAGCAAUCCAUUGAGAAUGGCAGUGGAUAAGAUGCAGAUAAGCAAGAAAGAGAAUUAAGGAUGAAAAGACAGAGCAGUUUGUGAAAAUUCAGAUUUUGCACUUCAGAAUAAUACCAUAAAGACUCAUCACUUUAAUCAGUUAUUGAUUACAUCGUGGGGACAUUCUACAGAUUCCACUCAAUGCUACUUUUAAAAUGAGUUUUCUGGAGUCUCUUGGGGUGCUGAUCUUUACAUGGAAAUAACAGAGAGUUCCAAGAAAUGGAAGCUGCUGCUAGUAGAAGAAGAAAAGCUGAGUAUCAUCAGGGUUAAUAACUGCUACUUGAGAUCCAUGAAUGAUUACAGAGUUACACUUCUAUAUCGAACUUUCCAGUGCCAUUAGUAAUAUGCUGCCUGUCUGGGACAUCG
Molecule: long non-coding RNA, 518 nt
Organism: Centrocercus urophasianus (Greater sage-grouse)
Lineage: Eukaryota; Metazoa; Chordata; Aves; Galliformes; Phasianidae
Exons: 5
Source: RefSeq, a predicted model, not a curated record